AUCCAGUCCCCGUGUGUUUGUUGCCUGGCAGUGAAGCUGUGGUGGAAUUAUGAAUAAACCCCAAAGAGCUCUUACUGGUAACCUGGCUCAAUGGGCACCCUGUAGUCUGCCGAGCAAUUGUAGCAGCGACUGUGCAGGAGCAGCAAAAAGGUCCCUUGCAAGGUUUGCUGGUGCCGUGGGUGGGCAAGGAGCAAAACAGGCAAGGAAGGGAGCUUUGGUUGCGACUGGUGCUGAUGACUGCCCCAAUUUCAGCAUGAUCAAGCCUCAUUGAACUGUGAGAUGUCAAUGUGGUGAUCAGUGUUCCCUGGCGGACUUUCCUGGACCUUGGGCCCACCUAAUGGAGCCAAGUUUUGGUGUCACAGAGGGCUGUGUCUGCAUACGCGGGAGGAUAAGGAAUAAUUACCAUAUAAUUAUGAUCCAGGUAAAUGCUGCAGCCAACACAUGCCUGAGAAUGAGUGGUUGGUGGAGGGGAAAAGGGAAAUGGGAUUUUUGAAUUAGAGAUAGGUAAUUUAUUGACUGUGGGCUCGUGUGUCGAUGUAUCAUUUGAUGUGUCUUUCGACAAGUGCUAUGGCAUUGCUUGUAGGUGGUCCUGGUGAUCGUACCCCGAGCUGAAGAUCUCAAUUUACUAUCCUCGUUAAUUCCUGGAGGUACUGUGACAGCUGGGGGGAGCAGACAGCAAGCCUUGAGUUUAACGUACACAAUAUUUAAGAUACAUUUCUGUUCAAACAACUAUAAAACGAAUUUUGUUCCUUUGUCCCCAGCACAGUGGGACACUUUGUGCUUGCUCUGUGGGAGAAGGGGAAUGGUGAGGGUUUGUUGAAGGGCUGUUGAUUAAAUCACAAAAAUAUGAAUAUUGGCACCGAGGCUGGAAAGGAGCAGUGCGUUUGCCCACUCCUCUCUCGGUCCCAACAGGUUUGUUCUUCACCAGGGAUUAUUUGUGCCCCUGUCUGUCCCGUUUGAAAUGUCACAUUUCCUGCUGCAAUUGGAAGGAGCUUUUAUCCGUGGGAUGUGUGUGUGUGUGUGUGUGUGUGUGUGUGUGUGUGUGUGUCUGAGGGGGUGUUUUCAUCACCGCUAGGUGAAUGUUUUAGUAAGCAAUGUCCAACACAUCACACGAAUGCUUGAAAAGAAGCAUUUUGCUAUUACUAAAGACUGUUAUUGCAGCUUGCGUGACCUUUCAGAGAUCUCUGGGAACUCGCAAGAAGGAGUGGGUUUAUAUAAAAAGGGAGCACGAUCUUAUUUUUAAGCUGUGGCAUGGGAGAGAGGUGGUUUAAGCCUGCUUAGUUCCCCAAAGGAGCUUCUCUUGCCUUCACAGGGCUUACCAGCGACAACCUCCAGGCAGUUGGCAGCAAACAUCUCCACAUUUUGGUGGAAAUUAG
RNAcentral lists this long non-coding RNA (1376 nucleotides) under Cairina moschata (Muscovy duck). RNAcentral describes it as "domestica (muscovy Duck (domestic type)) lncRNA (ENSCMMG00000001209.1)". Lineage: Eukaryota; Metazoa; Chordata; Aves; Anseriformes; Anatidae. The record is from RNAcentral.